GAAGGUUUUCGGAUCGUAAAGCUCUGUUGUUAGGGAAGAACAAGUGCAAGAGUAACUGCUUGCACCUUGACGGUACCUAACCAGAAAGCCACGGCUAACUACGUGCCAGCAGCCGCGGUAAUACGUAGGUGGCAAGCGUUGUCCGGAAUUAUUGGGCGUAAAGGGCUCGCAGGCGGUUUCUUAAGUCUGAUGUGAAAGCCCCCGGCUCAACCGGGGAGGGUCAUUGGAAACUGGGAAACUUGAGUGCAGAAGAGGAGAGUGGAAUUCCACGUGUAGCGGUGAAAUGCGUAGAGAUGUGGAGGAACACCAGUGGCGAAGGCGACUCUCUGGUCUGUAACUGACGCUGA
RNAcentral lists this ribosomal RNA (347 nucleotides) under Bacillus pumilus. Its description in RNAcentral is "bacterial SSU rRNA". It matches the Rfam family "Bacterial small subunit ribosomal RNA", at positions 410 to 749 of the family's 1533-position model. The record is from RNAcentral. Lineage: Bacteria; Bacillati; Bacillota; Bacilli; Caryophanales; Bacillaceae.